GUGCGUAACGCGUAUGCAACCUACCUUUAUCAGGGGGAUAGCCCGGAGAAAUCCGGAUUAACACCGCAUAAAAACACAGGAUAGCAUUAUCCAAUGUUCAAAUAUUUAUAGGAUAAAGAUGGGCAUGCGUGUCAUUAGCUAGUUGGCGGGGUAACGGCCCACCAAGGCGACGAUGACUAGGGGAUCUGAGAGGAUGACCCCCCACACUGGUACUGAGACACGGACCAGACUCCUACGGGAGGCAGCAGUAAGGAAUAUUGGUCAAUGGAGGCAACUCUGAACCAGCCAUGCCGCGUGCAGGAAGACUGCCCUAUGGGUUGUAAACUGCUUUUAUCCGGGAAUAAACCUCUUUACGAGUAGAGAGCUGAAUGUACCGGAAGAAUAAGGAUCGGCUAACUCCGUGCCAGCAGCCGCGGUAAUACGGAGGAUCCAAGCGUUAUCCGGAUUUAUUGGGUUUAAAGGGUGCGUAGGCGGCCUGUUAAGUCAGGGGUGAAAGACGGUAGCUCAACUAUCGCAGUGCCCUUGAUACUGAUGGGCUUGAAUGGACUAGAGGUAGGCGGAAUGAGACAAGUAGCGGUGAAAUGCAUAGAUAUGUCUCAGAACACCGAUUGCGAAGGCAGCUUACUAUGGUCUUAUUGACGCUGAGGCAC
RNAcentral lists this ribosomal RNA (650 nucleotides) under Pedobacter sp. Its description in RNAcentral is "bacterial SSU rRNA". It matches the Rfam family "Bacterial small subunit ribosomal RNA", at positions 106 to 754 of the family's 1533-position model. The record is from RNAcentral. Lineage: Bacteria; Pseudomonadati; Bacteroidota; Sphingobacteriia; Sphingobacteriales; Sphingobacteriaceae.